RNAcentral lists this ribosomal RNA (253 nucleotides) under uncultured bacterium. RNAcentral's name for it is "partial 16S ribosomal RNA". It matches the Rfam family "Bacterial small subunit ribosomal RNA", at positions 524 to 776 of the family's 1533-position model. The record is from RNAcentral.
UACGCAGGGGGCUAGCGUUGCUCGGAAUUACUGGGCGUAAAGCGCACGUAGGCGGUCUUUUAAGUCGGUGGUGAAAUCCUGGAGCUCAACUCCAGAACUGCCUUCGAUACUGGAAGACUUGAGUCCGGGAGAGGUGAGUGGAACUGCGAGUGUAGAGGUGAAAUUCGUAGAUAUUCGCAAGAACACCAGUGGCGAAGGCGGCUCACUGGACCGGUACUGACGCUGAGGUGCGAAAGCGUGGGGAGCAAACAGG